UGAGCAACCUGCCUUUCAGAGGGGGAUAACAGUUGGAAACGACUGCUAAUACCGCAUAACGCUGCGAUGGGGCAUCCCGAUGCAGCCAAAGGAGCAAUCCGCUGAAAGAUGGGCUCGCGGCCGAUUAGCUAGUUGGUGGGGCAACGGCCCACCAAGGCGACGAUCGGUAGCCGGACUGAGAGGUUGAUCGGCCACAUUGGGACUGAGACACGGCCCAGACUCCUACGGGAGGCAGCAG
RNAcentral lists this ribosomal RNA (238 nucleotides) under uncultured bacterium. RNAcentral's name for it is "partial 16S ribosomal RNA". It matches the Rfam family "Bacterial small subunit ribosomal RNA", at positions 118 to 354 of the family's 1533-position model. The record is from RNAcentral.